This 469-nucleotide ribosomal RNA is filed under the name uncultured bacterium. RNAcentral's name for it is "partial 16S ribosomal RNA". It matches the Rfam family "Bacterial small subunit ribosomal RNA", at positions 28 to 508 of the family's 1533-position model. The record is from RNAcentral.
GACGAACGCUGGCGGCGUGCUUAACACAUGCAAGUCGAACGGAAAGGCCCUGCUUUUGUGGGGUGCUCGAGUGGCGAACGGGUGAGUAACACGUGAGUAACCUGCCCUUGACUUUGGGAUAACUUCAGGAAACUGGGGCUAAUUCCGGAUAGGAGCUCCUGCUGCAUGGUGGGGGUUGGAAAGUUUCGGCGGUUGGGGAUGGACUCGCGGCUUAUCAGCUUGUUGGUGGGGUAGUGGCUUACCAAGGCUUUGACGGGUAGCCGGCCUGAGAGGGUGACCGGCCACAUUGGGACUGAGAUACGGCCCAGACUCCUACGGGAGGCAGCAGUGGGGAAUAUUGCACAAUGGGCGGAAGCCUGAUGCAGCAACGCCGCGUGCGGGAUGACGGCCUUCGGGUUGUAAACCGCUUUCGCCUGUGACGAAGCGUGAGUGACGGUAAUGGGUAAAGAAGCACCGGCUAACUACGUGC